UCCUUGCUUCCUUUCUCCGCCCGACCUCAUGGCUGGCCAGGCAGGGCUGCCGUGAACAUCUAAAGAGUGGCCAGAUGAAAUAUUCCAACUGAGCUCCACUUCACAGGACUCUGCACUCCAUGGAUCAGCUGACACCACCCAGACCAGUAAUGUGGCUCAACCAAUUCUGCCAUUCCACCCAGGAACAUAGACAGCAAGAAAAACUCACUUCGACCCCUCUAUGAUUCCAUCUCCAACCUGACCAAUCAUCACUCCUCGCUUCCUGAGCCCCUACCUGCCAAAUUAUCUUUAAAAACUCUGAUCCCUGAAUGCUUCAGGAGACUGAUUUCAGUAAUAAUAAAACUCUCAUUCCUGCACAGCUGGCUCUGUGUGAAUUACUCUUUCUUCACUGCAAUUCCCCUGUCUCGAUACAUUGGCUCUGUGAAGGCAGCAGGCAAUGUGAACCCACUGGGUGGUUAUACCGCUUCAAAAAAAAAAAAAAAAUGAAUCAUGAAUGUCUCCUCUACCAGACUCAACUGUAGAAGAGCAGGAAUGGUGUCUUCUUUUGCUCUCCACUCUGUUCCCAGCUUGUAGCUACAUAGUGUACACACAAUAAAUAUUAGCUGAGUGGAUGAACCAUUUCUUCUCUGUCUUUAAAUGUAAUACCUUGCUCCAAAUAGAUUUUCGAUAAAUACGAAUAAAUGGAGAAUGCCAUUUUAAAUCAUUCAAAAGGGCUCUUGCAGAAUAAAAGACUUAGAAGAGAAAAAGUUGAACCUCAAGGCUCAAAAAUACAAUCAUCUUUCCACUGUUGAUCUAUGAACUCAUGAAAGAGAAGCUUCUCCUAGGGACAGGGUAACAUUCAUCGGGGGAAAGGGGUUUUAAAACAUUAAAUAAUAAGUUUGCAAACUUUUCCUUUAGGGACUAAGAAUUUUAGCUUUUUUGCCAGUUAUUAUUCCCAAACUCUGCUAAGUGAUCACUAUGUGAAAAC
RNAcentral lists this long non-coding RNA (967 nucleotides) under Homo sapiens (human). RNAcentral describes it as "HSALNT0377886". The record is from RNAcentral. Lineage: Eukaryota; Metazoa; Chordata; Mammalia; Primates; Hominidae.